CAGACUGUGACACUUAUUGGAGAAGGUGUAGUUCUUGAAUCUUUCAGAAUGCAGAUACAACUGUGAGGACCACCCUUCUGAAUUAAGAAUACUAUAUUGAGUCUCAUUAACAAAAACUCAUGACUUCCAAGUGUGAUAACUGCUUAAUGCAAAAUAAAGUGAGCUGAGAUGCUUGUACCUCAUCAAAGGAGCGUGUACAACGAGCUUUUCAGCUGCAAUGCCUAUUGUAAAUCUCUGGAACUCAGCCCGAGUAGGAGAAGUGAAAGAUUAGAAAGGAGAGCUCAUCGAGGGAUGAAUACAACUUUAAAGUCAAAUGCACUGAAUUACUAUCUCUGCCGACUUCAGAGAGAGACUAAACUCGUGGCUAAAUUCUUACAAGGAAA
Long non-coding RNA from Passer domesticus (house sparrow), 383 nucleotides. RefSeq lists it as uncharacterized. The transcript is spliced from 3 exons. NCBI's taxonomy places the organism in Eukaryota, Metazoa, Chordata, Aves, Passeriformes, Passeridae. The record is from RefSeq and is a predicted model, not a curated record.